This 494-nucleotide ribosomal RNA is filed under the name uncultured bacterium. Its description in RNAcentral is "partial 16S ribosomal RNA". It matches the Rfam family "Bacterial small subunit ribosomal RNA", at positions 28 to 507 of the family's 1533-position model. The record is from RNAcentral.
GACGAACGCUGGCGGCGUGCUUAACACAUGCAAGUCGAACGGGAAGGCCUGCUUUCCCUUGUGGAUUGCGGGUACUCGAGUGGCGAACGGGUGAGUAACACGUGAGUGAUCUGCCCCCAACUUGGGUAUAAGCCUGGGAAACUGGGUCUAAUUCCCGAUAGGACUGCAGGGUGGUGCCUGUGGUGGAAAACGAUUUUCUAGUGGUUGGGGAUGAGCUCGCGGCCUAUCAGCUUGUUGGUGGGGUAAUGGCCUACCAAGGCGGCGACGGGUAGCCGGCCUGGGAGGGUGGACGGCCACAUUGGGACUGAGAUACGGCCCAGACUCCUACGGGAGGCAGCAGUGGGGAAUAUUGCACAAUGGGCGGAAGCCUGAUGCAGCGACGCCGCGUGGGAGAUGACGGCCUUCGGGUUGUAAACUCCUUUCGACCGCGAGGAAGCCACCUGGUUGGAAGGGUGGUGACGGUAGUGGUAGAAGAAGCACCGGCUAACUACGUG